UUGGAAAUUUUUUAAGUUCUAUUUUGAGUCGCAUAAAAUUUUUCUAAGUCCCAUAAUUUAUUCAAAAAACAAAAAAUAUGGCCGAAAAAAGGCCGAUUCAAUUGUCGGCCAACUUUCAGCCUAUUUAUUAAGAAUAAAGAUUUUUCGGCGUGUUUUCGGCUAAACUUUGACCUCUUUGAAUAAAAUUCUAUAUGGCGUGAUUUCGGCCAAAUUUAGCCUUUUCGGCCAAUAUUUUUACCCGCGAUAUGCAAAUUGGUGUUUACUCGACAAGAUACUCUUCGAAUUAAGUAUAAUAAUAAGUUUCCAUAUUAUCUGUCAUGACGCACGAUUCUGAUUACAUGUGUUGAAUUUUUUACCUAUAAAUUAGACGAAUUUUGAUAUAGAAGUGUCAUUUAGUAUCGAUAUACAGUAGAAGAAUUAAUUACAAAGAUAACGAAAAAAUUUCCAACUUUUUUAAAAUACACGUUGGAGUGAUUGAUUAUUCAAAAAUGUCAAUUAAAUUUGUUUUGGCUCUCCUUAUCGGGAUAAUGACAGUUUCAAGUAUUGAAGGUUGUUCUACUACUGUAUGCUCAGGAAAAAAUCAACCUUGUAACCAUAUUUUAAAAUGUUGCCGUGAAUAUAUUUGUGAACCAAGAUUUAUAGAAGACAACGAUUCUAUAUGUAAAGAAAGAAGUGUAAUUUUAGGAUUUCAAUAACUACACUGAUAGAAGGAUUUCUUAGCAUUUAAAAAAGAUUUCUCAGUAUUUAAGCAAUCAGUGUAGAUACAUAUGAAAUUGAAUUUUAUUUCAAGAAAUUUAUUGUAAGGAUAACGAAACA
Microplitis mediator is the source of this 816-nucleotide long non-coding RNA. RefSeq lists it as uncharacterized. Lineage: Eukaryota; Metazoa; Arthropoda; Insecta; Hymenoptera; Braconidae. The record is from RefSeq and is a predicted model, not a curated record. The transcript is spliced from 4 exons.